Molecule: ribosomal RNA, 495 nt
Filed under: uncultured bacterium
Lineage: Bacteria
Description: partial 16S ribosomal RNA
Rfam family: Bacterial small subunit ribosomal RNA
Source: RNAcentral
ACUCAAAUGAAUUGACGGGGGCCCGCACAAGCAGUGGAGUAUGUGGUUUAAUUCGAAGCAACGCGAAGAACCUUACCAAGGCUUGACAUAUUAGUGAAUAUGGCAGAAAUGUCAUAGCCCUUCGGGGCACUAUUACAGGUGGUGCAUGGUUGUCGUCAGCUCGUGUCGUGAGAUGUUGGGUUAAGUCCCGCAACGAGCGCAACCCCUGUUGUUAGUUGAUAACAUUUAGUUGAUCACUCUAACGAGACUGCCGGUGAUAAAUCGGAGGAAGGUGGGGACGACGUCAAAUCAUCAUGCCCCUUAUGUCUUGGGCUACACACGUACUACAAUGGCUAUUACAAUGAGAUGCUAAGCUGCAAAGUGGAGCAAAUCUAUAAAAAUAGUCUCAGUUCAGAUUGUGGGCUGCAACCCGCCCACAUGAAGUCGGAAUUGCUAGUAAUGGCAGGUCAGCAUACUGCCGUGAAUACGUUCCCGGGCCUUGUACACACCGCCCGU